GAUGAACGCUGGCGGCGUGCCUAAUACAUGCAAGUCGAGCGAACAGACGAGGAGCUUGCUCCUCUGACGUUAGCGGCGGACGGGUGAGUAACACGUGGAUAACCUACCUAUAAGACUGGGAUAACUUCGGGAAACCGGAGCUAAUACCGGAUAAUAUAUUGAACCGCAUGGUUCAAUAGUGAAAGACGGUUUUGCUGUCACUUAUAGAUGGAUCCGCGCCGCAUUAGCUAGUUGGUAAGGUGACGGCUUACCAAGGCAACGAUGCGUAGCCGACCUGAGAGGGUGAUCGGCCACACUGGAACUGAGACACGGUCCAGACUCCUACGGGAGGCAGCAGUAGGGAAUCUUCCGCAAUGGGCGAAAGCUUGACGGAGCAACGCCGCGUGAGUGAUGAAGGUCUUCGGAUCGUAAAACUCUGUUAUUAGGGAAGAACAAAUGUGUAAGUAACUAUGCACGUCUUGACGGUACCUAAUCAGAAAGCCACGGCUAACUACGUGC
This 498-nucleotide ribosomal RNA is filed under the name uncultured bacterium. RNAcentral describes it as "partial 16S ribosomal RNA". It matches the Rfam family "Bacterial small subunit ribosomal RNA", at positions 28 to 508 of the family's 1533-position model. The record is from RNAcentral.